Molecule: ribosomal RNA, 492 nt
Filed under: uncultured bacterium
Lineage: Bacteria
Description: partial 16S ribosomal RNA
Rfam family: Bacterial small subunit ribosomal RNA
Source: RNAcentral
AGUGAACGCUGGCGGUAUGCCUAACACAUGCAAGUCGAACGGCAGCACAGUAAGAUCUUGCUCUUACCGUUGGCGAGUGGCGGACGGGUGAGGAAUACAUCGCAAUCUACUUUUUCGUGGGGGAUAACGUAGGGAAACUUACGCUAAUACCUCAUACGACCUACGGGUGAAAGCAGGGGAUCUUCGGACCUUGCGCGAUUGAAUGAGCCGAUGUCGGAUUAGCUAGUUGGCGGGGUAAAGGCCCACCAAGGCGACGAUCCGUAGCUGGUCUGAGAGGAUGAUCAGCCACACUGGAACUGAGACACGGUCCAGACUCCUAUGGGAGGCAGCAGUGGGGAAUAUUGGACAAUGGGCGCAAGCCUGAUCCAGCCAUACCGCGUGGGUGAAGAAGGCCUUCGGGUUGUAAAGCCCUUUUGUUGGGAAAGAAAAGCAGCAGGUUAAUACCCCGCUGUUCUGACGGUACCCAAAGAAUAAGCACCGGCUAACUUCGUG